CUGUCUGUCAGUCAUUUUGUUUUGUAAGGCAGAUCCCUGUUUGUAGGAUCUUAUUUUAGGUUCGAGCUGAAUAACACUUAUCUGUGUUUUCAACUUUCUUGCGAAAAUGGCUGAAUCGAAUGUUGAUGUUCGUGACGUAGUACCUCCACCAAUAAUCAGAGUGAAUCUUGAUGUCCUUAAUGCUAGUGGUCAAUACCAGUUGCAAGUCAAUGCAUUUGGCCACAACGUCGGGUUUGUUGGCCAUAGGAGGUUCAGUAGCUGUGGUCGGUUAUGGCUUAUACAAGAUGGGAUACAAAGCUGGACCAUUUUACCGUGGUAGCAUUGCAUUUGAUAUUACAACUGAACCGGACAAAGAACGUACAGUUCGUCGCAAAUUGGAGAAUGGGACAUUCUUACAAGAGCUAAGGGAAGAAGUCAAAGAUAUAAUAGAAGAGCAUUCUGACAUACUGGGCGACCUUAAGUACUUCACCAUAAUCUCAUGUGAAGAAAUUUUCAAGUCGCAAGUAAAAAAAUGCGAU
This is a non-coding RNA of Ciona intestinalis (vase tunicate), 518 nucleotides long. NCBI's taxonomy places the organism in Eukaryota, Metazoa, Chordata, Ascidiacea, Phlebobranchia, Cionidae. The record is from RefSeq and is a predicted model, not a curated record.